This 433-nucleotide ribosomal RNA is filed under the name uncultured bacterium. RNAcentral's name for it is "partial 16S ribosomal RNA". It matches the Rfam family "Bacterial small subunit ribosomal RNA", at positions 29 to 507 of the family's 1533-position model. The record is from RNAcentral.
AACGAACGCUGGCGGCAUGCCUAACACAUGCAAGUCGAACGAUGCCUUCGGGCAUAGUGGCGCACGGGUGCGUAACGCGUGGGGAUCUGCCUUUCGGUUCGGAAUAACUCAGGGAAACUUGAGCUAAUACCGGAUAACGUCGCAAGACCAAAGAUUUAUCACCGAAAGAUGAGCCCGCGUAGGAUUAGCUAGUUGGUGAGGUAAAGGCUCACCAAGGCGACGAUCCUUAGCUGGUCUGAGAGGAUGAUCAGCCACACUGGGACUGAGACACGGCCCAGACUCCUACGGGAGGCAGCAGUGGGGAAUAUUGGACAAUGGGCGAAAGCCUGAUCCAGCAAUGCCGCGUGAGUGAUGAAGGCCUUAGGGUUGUAAAGCUCUUUUACCCGGGAAGAUAAUGACGGUACCGGGAGAAUAAGCCCCGGCUAACUCCGUG